RNAcentral lists this ribosomal RNA (397 nucleotides) under uncultured bacterium. RNAcentral describes it as "partial 16S ribosomal RNA". It matches the Rfam family "Bacterial small subunit ribosomal RNA", at positions 523 to 918 of the family's 1533-position model. The record is from RNAcentral.
AUACGUAGGGGGCGAGCGUUGUCCGGAAUGAUUGGGCGUAAAGGGCGCGUAGGCGGCCCGGUAAGUCUGGAGUGAAAGUCCUGUUUUUAAGAUGGGAAUUGCUUUGGAUACUGUCGGGCUUGAGUGCAGGAGAGGUAAGUGGAAUUCCCAGUGUAGCGGUGAAAUGCGUAGAGAUUGGGAGGAACACCAGUGGCGAAGGCGACUUACUGGACUGUAACUGACGCUGAGGCGCGAAAGUGUGGGGAGCAAACAGGAUUAGAUACCCUGGUCGUCCACACUGUAAACGAUGAAUGCUAGGUGUAGGGGGUAUCGACCCCUUCUGUGCCGCAGUCAACACAAUAAGCAUUCCGCCUGGGGAGUACGGCCGCAAGGUUGAAACUCAAAUGAAUUGACGGGG